This 375-nucleotide ribosomal RNA is filed under the name uncultured organism. RNAcentral describes it as "partial 16S ribosomal RNA". It matches the Rfam family "Bacterial small subunit ribosomal RNA", at positions 527 to 896 of the family's 1533-position model. The record is from RNAcentral.
GUAGGUGGCAAGCGUUGUCCGGAAUUGUUGGGCGUAAAGCGCGCGCAGGCGGGGUCCUUUAAGUCUGAUGUGAAAGCCCACGGGCUCAACCGUGGAGGGUCAUUGGAAACUGGGGGACUUGAGUACAGAAGAGGAAAGCGGAAUUCCAAGUGUAGCGGUGAAAUGCGUAGAGAUUUGGAGGAACAACAGUGGCGAAGGCGGCUUUCUGGUCUGUAACUGACGCUGAGGCGCGAAAGCGUGGGGAGCAAACAGGAUUAGAUACCCUGGUAGUCCACGCCGUAAACGAUGAGUGCUAAGUGUUAGGGGGUUUCCGCCCCUUAGUGCUGCAGCUAACGCAUUAAGCACUCCGCCUGGGGAGUACGGCCGCAAAGGCUG